Lemur catta (Ring-tailed lemur) is the source of this 551-nucleotide long non-coding RNA. RefSeq lists it as uncharacterized. The transcript is spliced from 3 exons. The record is from RefSeq and is a predicted model, not a curated record. NCBI's taxonomy places the organism in Eukaryota, Metazoa, Chordata, Mammalia, Primates, Lemuridae.
CAACGGCCGUGUGUGUGGAAGAAGGAAGCGAGAGUGUGGUUACUCAGGCAGGGCCAUGUGACAGCCCACACCCCCUUGUUUGUGACAGCUUUGGUAACAACGUUGAUCAAGAUGGGAUUCCGACGUGAUCUCUAGACGCGCAGCAGGUCCUGUCAGCUGCAGUCGAGACCUCUCUGGGGAGCCAGGUUACAGAUUCCACAGGGGCAGGACCCCCUCAUUUCUCCAUCCUAGUUUGUUCAUUUAGCCCCCUCUGGCACCCCAGGCUGGGGGCCCUGAGAGCCACAGGGGAGCAAAGAUUGCUGAGAGAGUCCUGGUUCAUCUCAUCUGUGUGAAGACCAUAAAGCCACAACUCACUGCACCUGACACCUGUGUGAUUCAAGAAUUCAAAACAGAUUUCUGUUUCCAGGAACAGAGCCCAGAAAAACACACCAAAUUGCCUUCAAAGAUUAAAGCAACAGGGCCAGGUGCGGUGUCUCACACCGGUAAUCCUAGCACUCUGGGAGGCCGAGGCGGGAGGAUAGCUUGAGGUCAGGAGUUCGAGACCAGCCUGA